Molecule: long non-coding RNA, 340 nt
Filed under: Solanum tuberosum (potato)
Lineage: Eukaryota; Viridiplantae; Streptophyta; Magnoliopsida; Solanales; Solanaceae
Description: long non-coding RNA (STUB_LNC000966)
Source: RNAcentral
UCCCAUUUUAUAAGGGGUCAUUAGAGGGAUCAUGUCUACUUCUUUCUCUACAACAACUUUAUUUUCCAUUGGUGUAAGCUUUCUUGUUAAUAAUUAUGGAUAUAUUUAUAACAAAGGAGAAAUUGGUGAAUAAUGGACACAAGCCAACCAAAUGAUAACUUGUACCAAGGCGUGUGGUACCCGAGCCAACCGAUGAUAUUUCAUAUCAGGCGUAGUAUUCAAGACAAUAAUUUUUUAAAAAGCUUGUUUUUCUAAAACAUAAAUAUGUUCUUACAUUUUCCACUCUGUGUCUUUAUUUGAUAGGAAAGAUGAUAAUGUAUUUUGUGGUAAUGAAUGAGUG